AGCCGAUUUCGAAUUUAUAGUGCUCGAAGGCAACCUUGGCAGUUAGGAGCUAUCUAGAAUUAGAAAAACCUUAGUCAGGACUCCUCUUCUUUUCUUUUCUCUUCUUUUGAUUGAAAACUUAUUGAAAAAACAAAUCAAAAUCAAAAAAUCAAAAAAAAAAUAGAAGAAAAAGUACCUUCUUCACUUUUUUCAUGGAAAAGGGUGUC
Molecule: long non-coding RNA, 206 nt
Filed under: Elaeis guineensis (African oil palm)
Lineage: Eukaryota; Viridiplantae; Streptophyta; Magnoliopsida; Arecales; Arecaceae
Description: long non-coding RNA (EGUI_LNC076004)
Source: RNAcentral